RNAcentral lists this ribosomal RNA (490 nucleotides) under uncultured bacterium. RNAcentral's name for it is "partial 16S ribosomal RNA". It matches the Rfam family "Bacterial small subunit ribosomal RNA", at positions 30 to 507 of the family's 1533-position model. The record is from RNAcentral.
AUUGAACGCUGGCGGCAGGCCUAAUACAUGCAAGUCGAACGGUAACAGGAAGCAGUUUGCCGCUUCGCGGACGAGUGGCGGGCGGGUGUGACAUGUGUGGGAAACUGCCCGAUGGAGGGGGAUAACUACUGGAAACGGUAGCUAAUACCGCAUAACGUCGCAACACCAAAGUGGGGGAGUUUAGGGCCGCUUUCCAUUGGAUGUGACCAGGUGGGGUUAGGUAGUAGGUGGGGUAACGGCUCACCUAGGCGACGAUCCCUAGCUGGUCUGAGAGGUGGAACGGCCACACUGGAACUGAGACACGGUCCAGACUCCUACGGGAGGCAGCAGUGGGGAAUAUUGCACAAUGGGCGCAAGCCUGAUGCAGCCAUGCCGCGUGUAUGAAGAAGGCCUUCGGGUUGUAAAGUACUUUCAGCGGGGAGGAAGGGAGUAAAGUGAAUACAUUCGCUCAUUGACGUUACCCGCAGAAGAAGCACCGGCUAACUCCGUG